GGGGAAUAUUGGACAAUGGGCGAAAGCCUGAUCGAGCCAUGCCGCGUGGGUGAAGAAGGCCUUCGGGUUGUAAAGCCCUUUUGUUGGGAAAGAAAAGCAGCCGGCCAAUACCCGGUUGUUCUGACGGUACCCAAAGAAUAAGCACCGGCUAACUCCGUGCCAGCAGCCGCGGUAAUACGGAGGAUGCAAGCGUUAUCCGGAUUUAUUGGGUUUAAAGGGAGCGUAGGCGGACUAUUAAGUCAGCUGUGAAAGUUUACGGCUCAACCGUGAAAUUGCAGUUGAAACUGGUCGUCUUGAGUGCAGUAAAGGUGGGCGGAAUUCGUGGUGUAGCGGUGAAAUGCUUAGAUAUCACGAAGAACUCCAAUUGCGAAGGCAGCUCACUGGAGUGUAACUGACGCUGAUGCUCGACAGUGUGGGUAUCAAACA
Molecule: ribosomal RNA, 426 nt
Filed under: uncultured Bacteroidota bacterium
Lineage: Bacteria; Pseudomonadati; Bacteroidota
Description: bacterial SSU rRNA
Rfam family: Bacterial small subunit ribosomal RNA
Source: RNAcentral